GACAGAGGGUGCAAACGUUGUUCGGAAUUACUGGGCGUAAAGGGCGCGUAGGCGGCCCGUUUAGUCGGGUGUGAAAUCCCGGGGCUCAACCCCGGAACUGCAUUCGAUACUGGCGGGCUUGAGACCGGAAGAGGUGGGUGGAAUACCCAGUGUAGAGGUGAAAUUCGUAGAUAUUGGGUGGAACACCGGUGGCGAAGGCGGCUCACUGGUCCGGUUCUGACGCUGAGGCGCGAAAGCGUGGGGAGCAAACAGG
RNAcentral lists this ribosomal RNA (253 nucleotides) under uncultured bacterium. Its description in RNAcentral is "partial 16S ribosomal RNA". It matches the Rfam family "Bacterial small subunit ribosomal RNA", at positions 524 to 776 of the family's 1533-position model. The record is from RNAcentral.